GUGGUUCUGCUCAAUCGGCAGAGCAGACGCUUCGUAAGCGUCCGGUUUCCAGUUCAAUUCUGGAGGGUGGCU
Molecule: transfer RNA, 72 nt
Filed under: Chloroflexi bacterium RBG_13_56_8
Lineage: Bacteria; Bacillati; Chloroflexota
Description: tRNA-Thr
Source: RNAcentral